AUUGAACGCUGGCGGCAUGCUUUACACAUGCAAGUCGAACGGUAACAGGGUGCUUGCACCGCUGACGAGUGGCGAACGGGUGAGUAAUGCGUCGGAACGCACCGAGUAAUGGGGGAUAACGCAGCGAAAGCUGUGCUAAUACCGCAUACGCUCUGAGGAGGAAAGCGGGGGACCUUCGGGCCUCGCGUUAUUCGAGCGGCCGACGUCUGAUUAGCUAGUAGGUGAGGUAAGAGCUCACCUAGGCGACGAUCAGUAGCGGGUCUGAGAGGAUGAUCCGCCACACUGGGACGGAGACACGGCCCAGACUCAUACGGGAGGCAGCAGUGGGGAAUUUUGGACAAUGGGCGCAAGCCUGAUCCAGCCAUGCCGCGUGUCUGAAGAAGGCCUUCGGGUUGUAAAGGACUUUUGUCAGGGAGGAAAUCCCUAGCGCUAAUACCGUUGAGGGAUGACAGUACCUGAAGAAUAAGCACCGGCUAACUACGUGCCAGCCGCCGCCGUAA
RNAcentral lists this ribosomal RNA (500 nucleotides) under uncultured bacterium. Its description in RNAcentral is "partial 16S ribosomal RNA". It matches the Rfam family "Bacterial small subunit ribosomal RNA", at positions 30 to 523 of the family's 1533-position model. The record is from RNAcentral.